Molecule: non-coding RNA, 85 nt
Organism: Felis catus (domestic cat)
Lineage: Eukaryota; Metazoa; Chordata; Mammalia; Carnivora; Felidae
Source: Rfam
ACCUGGGUGGCUCAGUUGGUUGAGUGUCUGACUUUGGCUCAGGUCAUGAUCUCGCCGUUCGUGGAUUCAAGCCCCACGUCAGGCU